AUAUAGAUAAGAUAUUUAGGUUUUUAGAAAUUAAAAGGGAAUCAGGUGAAAAUCCUGAGCGGUCCGGCCACUGUAAUUGGGGAGCUGCUUUUAAUAAUACCACUGAGAGCGAUCUUGGGAAGGAUAAAAGUCAAGUGCUGAUCCAUAAGUCAGGAGACCUGCCUAUAUAUGAGAGCACUA
This 180-nucleotide non-coding RNA is filed under the name Sporanaerobacter sp. PP17-6a. RNAcentral also lists the same sequence under 1 other name. The record is from RNAcentral. Lineage: Bacteria; Bacillati; Bacillota; Tissierellia; Tissierellales; Sporanaerobacteraceae.